RNAcentral lists this ribosomal RNA (438 nucleotides) under uncultured bacterium. RNAcentral describes it as "partial 16S ribosomal RNA". It matches the Rfam family "Bacterial small subunit ribosomal RNA", at positions 339 to 795 of the family's 1533-position model. The record is from RNAcentral.
CUACGGGCCGCUCCAGUGGGGGAUAUUGCACAAUGGGCGAAAGCCUGAUGCAGCAACGCCGCGUGAAGGAUGACGGAUUUCGGUCUGUAAACUUCUAUCAGCAGGGAAGAAAAUGACGGUACCUGACUAAGAAGCCCCGGCUAACUACGUGCCAGCAGCCGCGGUAUACGUAGGGGGCAAGCGUUAUCCGGAAUUACUGGGUGUAAAGGGUACGUAGGCGGCUGAUCAAGUCAGAUGUGAAAGCCCGGAGCUCAACUCCGGGAUUGCAUUUGAAACUGGUCGGCUAGAGUGCAGGAGAGGAAAGUGGAAUUCCUAGUGUAGCGGUGAAAUGCGUAGAUAUUAGGAAGAACACCAGUGGCGAAGGCGGCUUUCUGGACUGUAACUGACGCUGAGGUACGAAAGCGUGGGGAGCGAACAGGAUUAGAUACCCGCGUAGUC